CCUACGGGUGGCAGCAGUGAGGAAUAUUGGUCAAUGGGCGGAAGCCUGAACCAGCCAAGUAGCGUGCGGGAUGAAGGCCCUACGGGUCGUAAACCGCUUUUGCACGGGGAUAACACCCUCCUCUUGUGGAGUUCUGCAGUUACCGUGCGAAUAAGGGCCGGCUAAUUCCGUGCCAGCAGCCGCGGUAAUACGGAAGGCCCGAGCGUUAUCCGGAUUCAUUGGGCUUAAAGUGAGCGUAGGCGGGCGUUCAAGUCAGCUGUAAAAUCGCGCGGCUCAACCGCGCCCCGCAGUUGAAACUGGACGCCGAGAGUUAACAACAGGUAAGCGGAAGUCGUGGUGUAGCGGUGAAAUGCCUAGAUA
Molecule: ribosomal RNA, 360 nt
Filed under: uncultured bacterium
Lineage: Bacteria
Description: partial 16S ribosomal RNA
Rfam family: Bacterial small subunit ribosomal RNA
Source: RNAcentral